Molecule: ribosomal RNA, 433 nt
Filed under: uncultured bacterium
Lineage: Bacteria
Description: partial 16S ribosomal RNA
Rfam family: Bacterial small subunit ribosomal RNA
Source: RNAcentral
AACGAACGCUGGCGGCAUGCCUAACACAUGCAAGUCGAACGAGACCUUCGGGUCUAGUGGCGCACGGGUGCGUAACGCGUGGGAACCUGCCCUUAGGUUCGGAAUAACUCCCUGAAAGGGGUGCUAAUACCGGAUAAUGUCUUCGGACCAAAGAUUUAUCGCCUUUGGAUGGGCCCGCGUUGGAUUAGCUAGUUGGUAGGGUAAAAGCCUACCAAGGCGACGAUCCAUAGCUGGUCUGAGAGGAUGAUCAGCCACACUGGGACUGAGACACGGCCCAGACUCCUACGGGAGGCAGCAGUGGGUAAUAUUGUACAAGGGGCGAAAGCCUAAGCCAGCAAUGCCGCGUGAGUGAUGAAGGCCUUAGGGUUGUAAAGCUCUUUUACCCGGGAUGAUAAUGACGGUACCGGGAGAAUAAGCGCCGGCUAACUCCGUG